This 313-nucleotide unclassified non-coding RNA is filed under the name Conocybe pallidospora. Its description in RNAcentral is "partial internal transcribed spacer region". The stretch from base 1 to 46 matches the Rfam family "Eukaryotic small subunit ribosomal RNA", at positions 1786 to 1831 of the family's 1831-position model. The record is from RNAcentral. Lineage: Eukaryota; Fungi; Basidiomycota; Agaricomycetes; Agaricales; Bolbitiaceae.
AAGUCGUAACAAGGUUUCCGUAGGUGAACCUGCGGAAGGAUCAUUACAGAAUAAACUUGAUAGGUUGUUGCUGGCUCUCUUAACUGAGCAAGUGCACGCUUGUCAAUUUUUAUCUUUCCACCAUGUGCACUAUGCAUAGGAACAUCACUUGAACAAAGUAGCCUUUGUUUAUUGGGGACUGCUAUUAAGUUGGCUUUCUCUGAUGUUCCUAUGAUUUUUAUAUAUACACCUUUUUAUGUAAAGAACGCUUCAAAGGGCCUAUAAAGCCCUAUAAACUAUAAUACAACUUUCAGCAACGGAUCUCUUGGCUCUC